UAAUUAAUAUCGAUAUAAUAUUUGUCAAAGGAUAACAUAUUAUUCGUCAUAACAAAAAACCAGAACUUUUAACAUCAACAUUCCCUAACUUGCGAUUAGAACCAAUUUUCGAUAGUCCUCUAAAACCUUUAAAGAAAAUGCAUGCCUAGACACUUUUAGACUUACUAAAUGACAUUAGACACCGUUAUUUACGGAUUUGCUCAAAUUCCAGAAGCAGAGAAAUAAAUAUAAGAAAAAAGAAGGGAUAAAUUUUUAAUAAGGAAUGUACAGUGUGAAUGGAUAGAUCAUCAAGGUUUAGCAGGAUCUCCUACGGAUGAAUGAAUUUGGUUCAACACGUUUGACCACUUAACCGAAACUCGUUUAGUAUCAUGAGGUCGUUCAGUUUCUGCAUAUCUCAUCAAUUUCGAUAUUUGCUUUUCGAGAAGUUGUAAAUGUUUUUUCUUGACUUCGUUGUUUUGCUUUUCCAAUGAUCCUAGAAAUUGUUUAGUCCAACUCUCACAGACUUUUUCUAGCAACCCGAAUCGCCCAUGCUUCAUAUAAAAUUUAAUUGAUGUAUCGUAUAUCUCAAUUAUUGGAACACAAUGCCUAUACAUUUGAGAGUACAAACGAAUGAAAAGCUCAAUAUUUUUUAUUCGUGCAUGACCAGCUGGAGCUCUAAAUUGUAAAGAUGCAAUGGACCAAUAUAUUAUGUAGCGCCAGGCUAACUCAGGAAAAUUAAUUUUAUAAACAGAAGUAAGCUUCCUUGACAGAGAUACUGCACUUGAGACAUCACCUAAAUAUCCU
Schizosaccharomyces pombe (fission yeast) is the source of this 783-nucleotide non-coding RNA. The record is from the annotation of a GenBank genome assembly. Lineage: Eukaryota; Fungi; Ascomycota; Schizosaccharomycetes; Schizosaccharomycetales; Schizosaccharomycetaceae.